GACAGAGGUGCCGAGCGUUAGGCGGAAUCACUGGGCUUAAAGCGUGUGUAGGCGGACGGGUAAGUACCUUGUGAAAUCCCACGGCUCAACCGUGGAACUGCUGGGUAUACUGCCUGUCUUGAGUCAUCUAGGGGCGAGCGGAACAAAUGGUGGAGCGGUGAAAUGCGUAGAUAGUCAUUUGGAACGCCAAUGGUGAAAACAGCUCGCUGGGGAUG
RNAcentral lists this ribosomal RNA (215 nucleotides) under uncultured bacterium. Its description in RNAcentral is "partial 16S ribosomal RNA". It matches the Rfam family "Bacterial small subunit ribosomal RNA", at positions 524 to 737 of the family's 1533-position model. The record is from RNAcentral.